UACGAAGGGGGCUAGCGUUGCUCGGAAUCACUGGGCGUAAAGCGCACGUAGGCGGAUUGCUAAGUCAGGGGUGAAAUCCUGGAGCUCAACUCCAGAACUGCCUUUGAUACUGGCGACCUUGAGUCCGGGAGAGGUGAGUGGAACUGCGAGUGUAGAGGUGAAAUUCGUAGAUAUUCGCAAGAACACCGGUGGCGAAGGCGGGUCUCUGGGCCGAAACUGACGCUGAGGAGCGAAAGCGUGGGGAGCGAACAGG
RNAcentral lists this ribosomal RNA (253 nucleotides) under uncultured bacterium. Its description in RNAcentral is "partial 16S ribosomal RNA". It matches the Rfam family "Bacterial small subunit ribosomal RNA", at positions 524 to 776 of the family's 1533-position model. The record is from RNAcentral.